GGGACACGUGGUAUCCUGUCUGAAUAUGGGGGGACCAUCCUCCAAGGCUAAAUACUCCUGACUGACCGAUAGUGAACCAGUACCGUGAGGGAAAGGCGAAAAGAACCCCGGCGAGGGGAGUGAAAAAGAACCUGAAACCGUGUACGUACAAGCAGUGGGAGCCUCUUAAUGGGGUGACUGCGUACCUUUUGUAUAAUGGGUCAGCGACUUAUAUUCUGUAGCAAGGUUAACCGAAUAGGGGAGCCGAAGGGAAACCGAGUCUUAACUGGGCGUUAAGUUGCAGGGUAUAGACCCGAAACCCGGUGAUCUAGCCAUGGGCAGGUUGAAGGUUGGGUAACACUAACUGGAGGACCGAACCGACUAAUGUUGAAAAAUUAGCGGAUGACUUGUGGCUGGGGGUGAAAGGCCAAUCAAACCGGGAGAUAGCUGGUUCUCCCCGAAAGCUAUUUAGGUAGCGCCUCGUGAAUUCAUCUCCGGGGGUAGAGCACUGUUUCGGCAAGGGGGUCAUCCCGACUUACCAACCCGAUGCAAACUGCGAAUACCGGAGAAUGUUAUCACGGGAGACACACGGCGGGUGCUAACGUCCGUCGUGAAGAGGGAAACAACCCAGACCGCCAGCUAAGGUCCCAAAGUCAUGGUUAAGUGGGAAACGAUGUGGGAAGGCCCAGACAGCCAGGAUGUUGGCUUAGAAGCAGCCAUCAUUUAAAGAAAGCGUAAUAGCUCACUGGUCGAGUCGGCCUGCGCGGAAGAUGUAACGGGGCUAAACCAUGCACCGAAGCUGCGGCAGCGACACUAUGUGUUGUUGGGUAGGGGAGCGUUCUGUAAGCCUGUGAAGGUGGCCUGUGAGGGUUGCUGGAGGUAUCAGAAGUGCGAAUGCUGACAUAAGUAACGAUAAAGCGGGUGAAAAGCCCGCUCGCCGGAAGACCAAGGGUUCCUGUCCAACGUUAAUCGGGGCAGGGUGAGUCGACCCCUAAGGCGAGGCCGAAAGGCGUAGUCGAUGGGAAACAGGUUAAUAUUCCUGUACUUGGUGUUACUGCGAAGGGGGGACGGAGAAGGCUAUGUUGGCCGGGCGACGGUUGUCCCGGUUUAAGCGUGUAGGCUGGUUUUCCAGGCAAAUCCGGAAAACCAAGGCUGAGGCGUGAUGACGAGGCACUACGGUGCUGAAGCGACAAAUGCCCUGCUUCCAGGAAAAGCCUCUAAGCAUCAGGUAACAUCAAAUCGUACCCCAAACCGACACAGGUGGUCAGGUAGAGAAUACCAAGGCGCUUGAGAGAACUCGGGUGAAGGAACUAGGCAAAAUGGUGCCGUAACUUCGGGAGAAGGCACGCUGAUAUGUAGGUGAA
This 1343-nucleotide ribosomal RNA is filed under the name Escherichia coli. RNAcentral describes it as "partial 23S ribosomal RNA". It matches the Rfam family "Bacterial large subunit ribosomal RNA", at positions 419 to 1766 of the family's 2925-position model. Lineage: Bacteria; Pseudomonadati; Pseudomonadota; Gammaproteobacteria; Enterobacterales; Enterobacteriaceae. The record is from RNAcentral.